GAAAGAAGGAAGGAAGAAGGAAGGAAGGAAGGAAGGAAGGAAGGAAGGAAGGAAGGAAGGAAGAAGGAAGGAAGGAAGGAAGGAAGGAAGGAACGAAGGAACGAAGGAACGAAGGAAGGAAGGAGGGAAGGAGGGAAGGAAAUAGGAAAGAUGAGUUUGUAUUAUUCUAAAGAUAUUCUACUCCAUCCUGGUUUACACAUAGUGGGAGCCAUAACAAGCUUACAUUCUCUUAAGGCAUUGUUAGCUC
Molecule: long non-coding RNA, 247 nt
Filed under: Monodelphis domestica (gray short-tailed opossum)
Lineage: Eukaryota; Metazoa; Chordata; Mammalia; Didelphimorphia; Didelphidae
Description: lncRNA (ENSMODG00000039545.1)
Source: RNAcentral